This 366-nucleotide long non-coding RNA is filed under the name Brassica napus (rape). Its description in RNAcentral is "long non-coding RNA (BNAP_LNC018909)". The record is from RNAcentral. Lineage: Eukaryota; Viridiplantae; Streptophyta; Magnoliopsida; Brassicales; Brassicaceae.
AUAAUUUGAUAUGAAUUGAUUUGUUAACAGUUUUAGCUCGACCAAACUCUUGGUUUUCUCUCAUAUUUUUCCGCAUUCAACCGAUAUAUAAUUGGUAAUAUUAUAUUGUAAAUACUUUAUACUAUUUUAUUUUAUGGCACAAUAUAGUAUGUUACAAUAUAUUAUUUUUCUUCUCCUCUUCUUUGUUCUUCUACACCUAUUUUUUCAUAUUUUCGUUUUCCGUUCUCUCGUAUUCUCUUCCUUUAUUUAUUUUUUCUCACAUCUCACUCCUCUUUCUCCUCCUUAUUCUUCUUCGCUCCUAACCCCUCUCUCUUCUUCUUCUCCCCCCUCACACCUCUUCGCGACCUCACUCCUAACUCCUCACUC